Leptonychotes weddellii (Weddell seal) is the source of this 542-nucleotide non-coding RNA. NCBI's taxonomy places the organism in Eukaryota, Metazoa, Chordata, Mammalia, Carnivora, Phocidae. The record is from the annotation of a RefSeq genome assembly.
AUGGCCUGGACUCCUGUCUUCCUGGGGAUGCUCUUUUACUGCACAGGUUCCCUGUCCCAGCCCAUGCUGACCCGGCCACCCUCCCUCUCUGCAUCUCCGGCAACAAUGGCCAGACUCACCUGCACCUGAGCAGGGACAUCAUGUUGGCAGCUUGAACAUCUACUGGAUCCAGCAGCAGCCAGGGAGCCCUCCCCGGGGUCUGCUUUCCUACUCCUCACUCUGAUAAGCCCCAGGGCUCUGGGGUCCCCAGCAGCUUCUCGGGCUCCAAAGACACCUCGGCCAAUGCAGGGCUUCUGUGCAUCUCGGGGCGGGAGGGUGAGGCCGAGGCUGACUAUCACUGGGCUACAGCUCACGGCAGUGGGAGCAGCUACCGAUCCUCACUGGGUCUCAGACAACGAGGAAGUGGGUCUAAAACCUCUGGACCCACGGAUCUUGUUUCUGAGCCGCUUUUCAGUAAGAAACUUACCUGGAGAGACAUAGUGGGGUGGUCUCUUCUGCACGACGAUCUAUCCUUCAACAGGGAAAGAGGAAGACUCAUGUAA